Molecule: long non-coding RNA, 1355 nt
Filed under: Macaca mulatta (Rhesus monkey)
Lineage: Eukaryota; Metazoa; Chordata; Mammalia; Primates; Cercopithecidae
Description: lncRNA (ENSMMUG00000053827.1)
Source: RNAcentral
UUCUAUCAAGCAUUUCAAAAGCAAUCCCUUUAAACUUACAUAAAUAUAGAUAUAUGUAUAAAUAUACCAUAUAUUAAUAUAUCAGUAUAAAUAUAGACAGGUAUACCUUUGAUAUAUAAAUAUAUUACAUGUAAAAAUACAGUUGUUAUAAGAAUCUAUUCUUAUGCCACUGUAGUAGAUAUGGGGGUAGGGUAGACAGUUGGAAGAAGACGAAUAUGAAGUGGAGGAAGAUAGUUCAGACCAACAUCUUGCAAAGAUCAGUUGAACUCACUUGGAUCAACUAAAACCCACAAUGCCUUUGAUGCUUCUAGCCUCUAACUUCAAUGCUAUGGAUAUUCUUCAAGAAAAGCUGGCACUUCACAAAACUAAGCAAGUACCUGGCCAAGGAGUCAGAGAAAAUGAAGGAGCAUUCAGAGAGAGCUGGAGUUGUUGCAGGAACGCUAAGAAGAUAUUGCCUAAAAUGUUUAUUGCAAUGAAUAACUCACAACCAUGCAGAGAUAGCAUUUCAUCACUUGGAGAAGGAAACUUUCAUCAGAAUAAUUACAAACAAUACAUGGUAUAGAGUUUGAGAGCUGCUCUUCCCAUGCACCAAGGAAAAGGAGAUGCUGCAGAAACUGAUAUUUAAUUGGGGGGACUCCUGCAGAGAGACAAAACUCUUCUGGAAAGAGGGCCAGCAAAGUCAAAGAAGCAGUUUUCAAUAUUAUAAGAAAUACAGAUACUUGUCUUUUCAUCACAAAAAUAAGUAAUUAGAUAGAAAGGGUAUUAAAGAUUGGCCAAGCUCAAACUAUAUUUACCAAUUUUGUUAACUUCUUUUAAAGUUAAAUGUAAUUAUGUUGUGGAGGUUAUGUCACUUUUUCCAGUAUUCUUCUUGAAAGUAAAAUAUUUUCACAACUGUCUAUUAUUGUCCACCAAGAAACAUAUGAAGAAGCAAAAUGAAUUUUAAUAAUAGCAUAAAGACUGAGAAAGACACAUGUAAAUAUAGUAUUUUAAGGUUCUUAUAUGAAUAAAGUGAUGUGUUCUUAUUUAAACAUGUAUAUAUAAUCCCUAUAUCAACCAACAUGAAAGUUAAAAAUAAAUAAUUACACUGCCCACUCAGUUUUAAAAGGGGGUAAGAAUACAAGUUAAAUAGUAUAAAGAUUAGUUAAAAAUAAAAUGGUGACAUAACAAACUUAAAGUAGACAAUUUCAAUAAUUAUGUUAAAUAUAGACUAAGAUACAAACUGUCAGAUGGGAUAAAAAAAAAAAAACAAGACCCCACUAUAUGCCAUCUACAAAUCUUGUUUUCAAUUAAAAGAUACAAAUUAAAAGUAAAAUGAUGGAGAAAGAUACACUAUGCUAAAAUAGCUAGAGAAACAA